GGGUCGGUGGUCUAGUUGGUUAUGACACCUCCUUCACACGGAGGAAGCCGACGGUUCGAAUCCGUCCCGACCCA
Molecule: transfer RNA, 74 nt
Filed under: Natronomonas sp. CBA1123
Lineage: Archaea; Methanobacteriati; Methanobacteriota; Halobacteria; Halobacteriales; Natronomonadaceae
Rfam family: tRNA
About the family: Transfer RNA (tRNA) molecules are approximately 80 nucleotides in length. Their secondary structure includes four short double-helical elements and three loops (D, anti-codon, and T loops). Further hydrogen bonds mediate the characteristic L-shaped molecular structure. tRNAs have two regions of fundamental functional importance: the anti-codon, which is responsible for specific mRNA codon recognition, and the 3' end, to which the tRNAs corresponding amino acid is attached (by aminoacyl-tRNA synthetases). tRNAs cope with the degeneracy of the genetic code in two manners: having more than one tRNA (with a specific anti-codon) for a particular amino acid; and 'wobble' base-pairing, i.e. permitting non-standard base-pairing at the 3rd anti-codon position.
Source: Rfam by way of RNAcentral